Molecule: ribosomal RNA, 402 nt
Filed under: uncultured bacterium
Lineage: Bacteria
Description: bacterial SSU rRNA
Rfam family: Bacterial small subunit ribosomal RNA
Source: RNAcentral
UGGGGAAUAUUGGACAAUGGGCGCAAGCCUGAUCCAGCCAUGCCGCGUGAGUGAUGAAGGCCCUAGGGUUGUAAAGCUCUUUUGUGCGGGAAGAUAAUGACGGUACCGCAAGAAGAAGCCCCGGCUAACUCCGUGCCAGCAGCCGCGGUAAUACGGAGGGGGCUAGCGUUGUCCGGAAUUACUGGGCGUAAAGCGCGCGUAGGCGGUCCACCAAGUCGGGGGUGAAAGCCCGGGGCUCAACCCCGGAAUGUCCUCCGAGACUGUUGGACUGGAGUUCGGGAGAGGAGAGCGGAAUUCCCAGUGUAGAGGUGAAAUUCGUAGAUAUUGGGAAGAACACCGGUGGCGAAGGCGGCUCUCUGGCCCGCAACUGACGCUGAGGCGCGAAAGCGUGGGGAGCGAACA